UAGCUUGUUGUUUUCUAUUUAAACUCUUGUAUGUUUCAUUUCAAAUCAUUCAACCCUUUUUAAUAAAAUCUACUUUUAAAUUUGUUGAAUCCUUUGUUCUUUGGAACAUCGUAAUGCUAGGAGAGUGAUCUCCGUAAGCACGGUCUUGUUCACUAGUGGGGCUGCCUCUCACGGACUAAGACUAACGAAGCAAGUAUUUGGCCUUCCGCAGCCUUAUACUGAAGAAUCAUCGAUCCACCAUUCCUUUGAUCGUUCUUUUGGAUCAAAGCUUAUCCAUUUCACCAACCUUCGAAUGCAUUCCUUGGGAGAUUUUCAUCAGGUGGCCUCCAUAUAAGAGAAUGUGAAGCAUCUCGUUUUUUCUUGGAAAACAAGACACGUGAGGAGUAGAAACAUGAUUUUUUAUCCUGUGUUGGUCCACUCGGGUUUAGUCUUGGUAACGUUGACGAGCUGGUCACAAACAAGUCUAUAUCACACAUGUAUUGCUUUGGCUUAACUAGAUAUGUAAAUACAAAAAAAAGUUAGUCUUUUCUAGAGUCGAACUUAGGAUAUGGACAUUAGAACUUUUCUCUUUUAACAUUAGACCAUGAUGAUUUAUCAAUAUUUUUUGCAAAUCAUUCAUUAAUAUAGACAUUGUGGAAGAAGAAGGAUUUGGUCAAUCUUUUGCAAAAAUAAGAAAAGGAAAGUAAUUGUUGUGUAUCAAGAGAAAGAGAAAAUUGGUUGUUCUUAUUAUUCCAUAGAUAAUAGUACAUAUAUAUACGGAUACAAAGCUAGGGUUCUAGAACCCUAGACCAUAGGCUUAAUGGGCCUAAUGGAC
This 814-nucleotide long non-coding RNA is filed under the name Brassica napus (rape). Its description in RNAcentral is "long non-coding RNA (BNAP_LNC019689)". The record is from RNAcentral. Lineage: Eukaryota; Viridiplantae; Streptophyta; Magnoliopsida; Brassicales; Brassicaceae.